Molecule: ribosomal RNA, 468 nt
Filed under: uncultured bacterium
Lineage: Bacteria
Description: partial 16S ribosomal RNA
Rfam family: Bacterial small subunit ribosomal RNA
Source: RNAcentral
GACGAACGCUGGCGGCGUGCUUAACACAUGCAAGUCGAACGGAAAGGCCCUGCUUUUGUUGGGUGCUCGAGUGGCGAACGGGUGAGUAAAACGUGAGUAACCUGCCCUUGACUUUGGGAUAACUUCAGGAAACUGGGGCUAAUACCGGAUAGGAGCUCCUGCUGCAUGGUGGGGGUUGGUAAGUUUCGGCGGUUGGGGAUGGUCUCGCGGCUUAUCAGCUUGUUGGUGGGGUAGUGGCGUACCAAGGCUUUGACGGGUAGCCGGCCUGAGAGGGUGACCGGCCACAAUGGGACUGAGAUACGGCCCAGACUCCUACGGGAGGCAGCAGUGGGGAAUAUUGCGGAAUGGGCGGAAGCCUGAUGCAGCAGCGCCGCGUGCGGGAUGACGGGCUACGAGUUGUAAACCGCUUUCGCCGGUGACGAAGCGUGAGUGACGGUAAUGGGUAAAGAAGCACCGGCUAACUACGUG